This 392-nucleotide long non-coding RNA is filed under the name Homo sapiens (human). RNAcentral describes it as "non-protein coding lnc-ECT2-4:1". Lineage: Eukaryota; Metazoa; Chordata; Mammalia; Primates; Hominidae. The record is from RNAcentral.
CAUUGCACUCCAGCCUGGGUGACAGAGCAAGACUCCAUCUUAAAAACAAAAACAGAAAGAAAAUUAUCAAAUAACAUUAAAAUUUAAAUCUCACUUCAUCAAAAGUCACCGCAGAAAAGUCAAGCUCCUUGAUGAGAUAAAAUAUAAAAACUUCAAUAAAUCAAUAAUAAAACUAUUCAAAAAACCCAAAUGAACAAAGAGCACAAACAUGCAAAUUGUAAGAAUAUAGAAAUAGUAAAAAUACCAUUUUCAUAAAUUUGAAAAUUUUUAAGAAUUCUUCUAUUUAUCCUUUAAGGAAAUGGAACCACAGGACAAAUAAUGACAACAAAGAUGUUCAACCCAAUUAACAGUCAUGGAAAUGCAGUGAAAAGGCAACCUAUAGAAUGGGAGGA